AUGGCUUCCAGCACUGUUUCCGUGAAGGCUGCCAGCUUGGCAAAUGAAACUCCUGAAAUUCCAGACAACGUGGGAGAUUGGCUUCGGGUGUCUAUCGCUUUGCCACCGAUAGAAAUGAUUUCCGGAGGAACUUGAUCCUCAAUUUGGGACUCUUUGCUGCGGGCGUUUGGCUGGCCAGGAACUUGAGUGACAUUGAUCUCUUGGCACCUCAGCCAGGGGUGUAGCCACGUAGACAAAUGGAAUCCUGUGCUGCACCUGAACCUUUCAAAAACAGAGCCUAUAAUCUGUGACCACCACAAGGUAUGCCUUGAUGGCAGCUGAAGUUUGAUCCUCAUGGGCACCUUCCUCUUCUCUACCUGGUUUCAUUUCGUUUCAAGUCUCCUCAGAGCUCCAUUCUCUGGUCAGCAGUCAGGCUUCAGCUAAAGCAUUGCCUCUGGUCUGUAAAGUUCUGUACA
Molecule: RNA transcript, 455 nt
Organism: Otolemur garnettii (small-eared galago)
Lineage: Eukaryota; Metazoa; Chordata; Mammalia; Primates; Galagidae
Gene name: mitochondrial import receptor subunit TOM6 homolog
Exons: 1
Source: RefSeq, a predicted model, not a curated record